RNAcentral lists this ribosomal RNA (465 nucleotides) under uncultured bacterium. Its description in RNAcentral is "partial 16S ribosomal RNA". It matches the Rfam family "Bacterial small subunit ribosomal RNA", at positions 28 to 507 of the family's 1533-position model. The record is from RNAcentral.
GACGAACGCUGGCGGCGUGCUUAACACAUGCAAGUCGAGCGAGGCCCCUCCUUCGGGAGGGUGUCCUAGCGGCGAACGGGUGAGUAACACGUGGGCAACCUGCCCUCAGCUCUGGGAUAACUCCGGGAAACCGGGGCUAAUACCGGAUACGACCUCCACGGGCAUCUGCGGAGGUGGAAAGUUUUUCGGCUGAGGAUGGGCCCGCGGCCUAUCAGCUAGUUGGUGGGGUAGUGGCCCACCAAGGCGACGACGGGUAGCCGGCCUGAGAGGGCGACCGGCCACACUGGGACUGAGACACGGCCCAGACUCCUACGGGAGGCAGCAGUGGGGCAUAUUGCGCAAUGGGCGAAAGCCUGACGCAGCGACGCCGCGUGAGGGACGAAGGCCUUCGGGUUGUAAACCUCUUUCAGCAGGGACGAAGCGAAAGUGACGGUACCUGCAGAAGAAGCACCGGCCAACUACGUG